This is a long non-coding RNA of Oncorhynchus tshawytscha (Chinook salmon), 3452 nucleotides long. NCBI's taxonomy places the organism in Eukaryota, Metazoa, Chordata, Actinopteri, Salmoniformes, Salmonidae. The record is from Ensembl.
CCCCCCCCAAAGGUGCGGACUCCCUGCCGCAAACCUAAACAUAUAUGGGAGGGUCUGGGUGGGCAUCUAACUUUGGUGGCGGCUCUGGUUCUGGACGCUGCCCCCCUUCUUUACAUUGAGCCAUCCGCCCUUGUAGCACUGACCCGUGGAUCAUCGCCGGAGGCUCAUUGCUGCGGUUCAUCGCUGGCGACCCCGGACUGGGAACCUUUCCUGUAGACCCCGGACUGGGGACCGUCGCUGGAGACCCCGGGCUGGUGACACGCACCUCAGGGCGAGUGCGGGGAGGAGGAACAGGGCGUACUGGGCUCUGGAGACGCACAGGAAGCCUGGUGCGUGGUGCCGGCACUGGUGGUACCGGGCUGGGGACACGCACCUCAGGGCGAGUGUGGGGAGCAGGAACAGUACACACCGGGUUGUGACGGUACACUGGAGACCUGGUGUGUAUAGCCGGCAUAAAUUUUUCUGGAACUUUGACACGUUUCAGGAUGAAUACGAGGAACUGACACAGGUGGCAUUGGACAGCUAACAUGCUCCUCAGGGCGAAUGCCAUGCAUACUACACCAAACCAACAGCUCUCUCUCUUCACUCUCCUCCAAUCUGUCCAAUAACUCCUCGACAAUCUCAGACUCACCCCUCAACUUCGCCGACUGCUCCAUGUGCCUCCCCAAAAAAUCUUGGGGUUUCUGUGGCCUACCUCCCCGACGUUGUUGCUGUCCUCUCUUACUUCUCUGUUCCUCCUGCUUUGUUUCCACCUGCCUCCAUGGUAGGCAAUCCUCUCCUGCCAAAAUCUCCUCCCACGUCCAGGAUCCUUUACCGUCCAGUAUUUCGUCCCAGGUCCAUUUUUCCACCAAGCGCUGUUCCUCCCUUUCACGCUGCUUGGUCCAGGUUUGAUGGGUUAUUCUAUCACGUUCGUCAUAACGAGGAGACCAAGGCGCAGCAUGAUAUGAAUACAUUCCUCUUUAAUAAAAGAGAACACUGAACAAACUAAACAAAUCAACAAAACAACCGUGAAGCUAUAUAUAACGAGUGUUGACAUACAACUAACCAUCAACAAUAACCCACAAAAUACCCAAGGAAUAUGGCUACCUAAAUAUGGUCCCCAAUCAGAGACAACGAUAAACAGCUGCCUCUGAUUGAGAACCAAUCCAGGCAACCAUAGACAUAUAAACCCCUAGACUAGUAAACACCAUAAACAUACAAAAACCCUAGACAGGAUAAAAACACAUAUACCCACCCUCGUCACACCCUGACCUGACCAAAAUAAUACAGAACACAUGGAUAACUAAGGUCAGGGCGUGACAGAUGCGAUAAGAUCAUGGGAUCAGAUCAUCCCACUCUACCUUUUGUGGUUGAGGUAGACGCAUCGGAGGUGGGUCUGGGGGAAGUUUGGACACAACGACAGGGGAGACCCACUAAAAUUGUAUCCUUGUGCUUUCUUCUCCGAGAAACUGUGCCCCGCAGAGAGCAAUUAUGAAAUCGGCGAUCGGGAGCUCUCGGCGGUGAAGUAGCUGGAGGAUGCCAAGGAACGAUUCGUCAUCCUCACCGACCAUCGGAACCUUGAGUACAUAUGGAGACUGAAUCUGCGCCAAGCCAGGACUAGAAGACACUGGGUAUCUCUCCUCUGAUGGCUGCCAUGAAUGGUCACGUCCCUGCGGUCAAGCUGCUGCUGGACAUGGGCUCAGACAUCAACACUCCGAUCGAGACCAAACGUAACACAGCACAGACCCUGGCCUGCCAACGUGGAGCACUGCGUCAAGGUGAGAGCAGCCAUCAUCAGCUGAACCUGACAUGUUAUGUUAUCUGGGAUAGAGUCAAAGACAUUAGGAAUGAUGUUUGGUGUUAGACUGUUUGGUGCAGUAUGUCACUAACCCAUACGUUCUCUCUGAUUGGUCAAACUCCUCUCAUGGAGGGUGUGUCAGGUGGCUAUGCUGAGAUGGGGCAUGUUCUGCUGGACAAGAGCGCUUACGUCACCUGUCCAAACCUUCCAAGACACCGUGUGCACCAUUGCUGCAGACAAGGGCCACUACAAGUUCUGUGAGCUCCUCAUCAACAGCUAAUUACUGUUACAGUCUACCUUCAGUAUGAGACCAACAUCUCCUCCUGGGACAACGGAUACACGUGACUCCUGGGCAGUGCAGCGUUUACCUGGAGGUUUAUCACGCAAUCCCCCUGUCGAUGGGGUGGUAAUUGGGUCGCCUUCUUUUUACAGAAGGCGAUAGCCAAAUCGGCAUACUCAGUGGGAAUGCGCACGUUGGAAACCUGGUCUGGACUCUCCACCAUCGUCGCACCGAUGGAAACUCCUACACACCUGCCUGAACACUCAUCAGACCACCCCUGGAAAGCUCCCUGUCUCCACGAAAUCUUAGAAUUGUGAAUAGCCAGCCAGGGAAUCCGCAGCACCACCGGAAACGAUAAGGAACAGACUAAUCCGCUCCUUAUGAUCCCCCCACGUAAUCAUCUCCAGAGGAAUCGUGGCCUCCCUGACCAGCCCUGACCCUAACGGUUGACUAUCUAAGGAGUGCACAGGGAAGGGGGGGGUCUACCUGUACUAACGGAAUCCUCAACCUCUGGGCGAGUCCGCAAUCUAUAAAGUUCUCAGCUGCGCCUGAAUCGACUAGCGCCUUUGCUGGAGAGAAGGAGAAAACUUAAGGAAACAAAUUAAUAAAAACAUGUGACUAACAGGAAGCUCUGGGUGAGUGUGGUGCUGACUCACCUGGGGUGACCGAGGAGUGUUCUGCCUGCCCUCUCGACUCCCAGAUGGACUCCUCCAGCACCGACCGGAAGUGUGCCCUCUCCGGCCACAGCUGGUACAGGAGAAGCCUCCUCCUCCGGUCUCCCUAGAUGCAGCCCCCCCCCCCUAGCUCCAUAGGCAUGGGAGCGGGAGGGCCAGGAGGUGGAACAGACAGGACCCUGAGCAGCCAGCAGAUGGUCUAGCCGGAUGGACAUGUCUAUGAGCUCGUACAGGCAAAGCGUAGUGUCCCGACAAGCCAGCUCCCUGUGGACGUCCUCUCUCAGGCUACACCUGUAAUGGUCUAUCAGGGCCAUGUCGUUCCACCCCGCUCCAGAGGCCAAGGUCCGGAAUUCCAGCGCAAAGUCCUGCACGCUCCUCGUCCCCUGCCUGAGAUGGAACAAUCUCUCACCCGCCGCUUGGCCCUCCACAGGGUGAUCGAACACGGCCCGGAAACGGCGGGUGAACUACGGGUAGUGGGCCCUCGCCGAGUCAGGCCCGUUCCAGACGGCAUUGGCCCACUCCAGGGCUCUUCCCGUCAGGCAAGAGACGACGACACUCACGCUCUCCUCGUCCGAGGGAGCCGGCCGAACGGUGGCCAGGUAAAGCUCUAGUUGAAGCAGGAAUCCCUGGCACCCCGCCACCGCUCCAUCGUACUCCCUCGGAGGCGCAAUACGCAGAGUGCUGGUACCGGAUCCCGCUGGAGGAGAUGGUAGCGUUGCCG